UACGGGGGGGGCAAGCGUUGUUCGGAAUUACUGGGCGUAAAGGGCUCGUAGGCGGCCAACUAAGUCAGACGUGAAAUCCCCAGGCUCAACCUGGGAACUGCGUCUGAUACUGGAUGGCUUGAAUCCGGGAGAGGGAUGCAGAAUUCCAGGUGUAGCGGUGAAAUGCGUAGAUAUCUGGAGGAAUACCGGUGGCGAGGGCGGCAUCCUGGACCGGCAUUGACGCUGAGGAGCGAAAGCCAGGGGAGCAAACGGG
RNAcentral lists this ribosomal RNA (253 nucleotides) under uncultured bacterium. Its description in RNAcentral is "partial 16S ribosomal RNA". It matches the Rfam family "Bacterial small subunit ribosomal RNA", at positions 524 to 776 of the family's 1533-position model. The record is from RNAcentral.